RNAcentral lists this ribosomal RNA (480 nucleotides) under uncultured bacterium. Its description in RNAcentral is "bacterial SSU rRNA". It matches the Rfam family "Bacterial small subunit ribosomal RNA", at positions 30 to 505 of the family's 1533-position model. The record is from RNAcentral.
AUUGAACGCUGGCGGCAUGCCUUACACAUGCAAGUCGAACGGCAGCACGGGAGCAAUCCUGGUGGCGAGUGGCGAACGGGUGAGUAAUACAUCGGAACGUGCCCAGACGUGGGGGAUAACUACUCGAAAGAGUGGCUAAUACCGCAUACGAUCUACGGAUGAAAGCGGGGGAUCGCAAGACCUCGCGCGUCUGGAGCGGCUGAUGGCAGAUUAGGUAGUUGGUGGGAUAAAGCCUACCAAGCCAACGAUCUGUAGCUGGUCUGAGAGGAUGAUCAGCCACACUGGGACUGAGACACGGCCCAGACUCCUACGGGAGGCAGCAGUGGGGAAUUUUGGACAAUGGGCGAAAGCCUGAUCCAGCCAUUCCGCGUGCAGGAUGAAGGCCCUCGGGUUGUAAACUGCUUUUGUACAGAACGAAAAGCUCUGGCUAAUACCUGGAGUCCAUGACGGUACUGUAAGAAUAAGCACCGGCUAACUACG